AACGAACGCUGGCGGCAUGCCUAAUACAUGCAAGUCGAACGAGAAAGCACUUCGGUGUGAGUAGAGUGGCGCACGGGUGAGUAACACGUAGGUGACCUACCUUAAAGCCUGGGAUAACCAGUGGAAACGCUGGCUAAUACCGGAUGUUUAGUACAAGUUUGGAUACUGUACUACAAAGGGGGCUUCCGCUCUCACUUUAAGAUGGGCCUGCGGGACAUUAGCUUGUUGGUGGGGUAAUGGCCUACCAAGGCGAUGAUGUCUAGCUGGUCUGAGAGGAUGAUCAGCCACACUGGAACUGAGACACGGUCCAG
Molecule: ribosomal RNA, 311 nt
Filed under: uncultured bacterium
Lineage: Bacteria
Description: bacterial SSU rRNA
Rfam family: Bacterial small subunit ribosomal RNA
Source: RNAcentral